This 252-nucleotide ribosomal RNA is filed under the name uncultured bacterium. RNAcentral's name for it is "partial 16S ribosomal RNA". It matches the Rfam family "Bacterial small subunit ribosomal RNA", at positions 57 to 305 of the family's 1533-position model. The record is from RNAcentral.
GCAAGUCGAACGGUAACAGGACUAGCUUGCUAGUUGCUGACGAGUGGCGGACGGGUGCGUAACGCGUGGAAAUCUACCUUUGAGACUGGGACAACCUGAGGAAACUCAGGCUAAUACCGGAUGUGGUCUACGGACUAAAGGUUGCCUCUCCUUGGAAGCAGUCGCUCACAGAUGAGUCCGCGUUGGAUUAGCUAGAUGGUGGGGUAAAGGCCUACCAAGACGAUGAUGCAUAGCCGACCUGAGAGGGUGAUC